Molecule: unclassified non-coding RNA, 326 nt
Filed under: air metagenome
Description: partial contains small subunit ribosomal RNA, internal transcribed spacer 1, and 5.8S ribosomal RNA
Rfam family: Eukaryotic small subunit ribosomal RNA (bases 1-46)
Source: RNAcentral
AAGUCGUAACAAGGUUUCCGUAGGUGAACCUGCGGAAGGAUCAUUAACGAAUAACUAUGGUGUCUUGGUUGUAGCUGGCUCCUCGGAGCAUUGUGCACGCCCGCCAUUUUUAUCUAUCCACCUGUGCACCGACUGUAGGUCUGGAUGACUCUCGCACUCCUCGAGUGCGGAUGCGGGGAUUGCCCUCUUCACGGAGGUGUCUCUCCUCGAAUUUCCAGGCUCUACGUCUUUUUACACACCCCAAAAGUAUGAUAUAGAAUGUAGUCAAUGGGCUUGAUCGCCUAUAAAACACUAUACAACUUUCAGCAACGGAUCUCUUGGCUCUC